CACGUAGGGUGCGAGCGUUGUCUGGAAUUAUUGGGCGUAAAGAGCUCGUAGGCGGUGUGUCGCGUCGGCCGUGAAAACCUGCAGCUUAACUGUGGGCUUGCGGUCGAUACGGGCAUCACUGGAGUUCGGCAGGGGAGACUGGAAUUCCUGGUGUAGCGGUGAAAUGCGCAGAUAUCAGGAGGAAUACCGAUGGCGAAGGCAGGUCUCUGGGCUGACACUGACGCUCAUGCACGAAAGCGUGGGGAGCAAACAGG
Molecule: ribosomal RNA, 254 nt
Filed under: uncultured bacterium
Lineage: Bacteria
Description: partial 16S ribosomal RNA
Rfam family: Bacterial small subunit ribosomal RNA
Source: RNAcentral